Molecule: non-coding RNA, 45 nt
Filed under: Echinostoma caproni
Lineage: Eukaryota; Metazoa; Platyhelminthes; Trematoda; Plagiorchiida; Echinostomatidae
Source: RNAcentral
GCACUGCUGAUGAGUCCCGAACAGGACGAAACAGCUGUCCAGUGC